GUUCAGAGUACGUGAAACCGUUCAGGGGUAAACCUGAGAAACCCAAAAGAUCGAAUGGGGAGAUUCAUCGUCAGCGCGCUUUGUAUAUGUAUGAGUUAUGAUGCGGGUUACUCUUGUAGUAUUGCUUGCACGUACUUUUACAUUUGUUUGCAAGGUGUUGUCGGCGUGCACUUCUCCCCUAGUAGGACGUCGCGACCCGUUGGGUGUCGGUCUACGACUUAGGUGGUAGCCUUUAAUGUUUAACAACAUUGAAGACCCUUGAUGUUUUCUGACCGGCUACCCGACGGUACUCGUACGGUAUUUAGCCGCAUUUUAUAUGCGUCCAUAUCCGUCGCAAGCGAGGCUAGUUUCUGGUAGUACGGACCUAGUGCCGUCGCUGGAGCUGGCCAGCUGUUGGUUGUUACGGUGAUCUAGGACUGGCUAAAAAUAUUACCGGUCGGCGAUGCUACUGCUUUGGGUACUUUCAGGACCCGUCUUGAAACACGGACCAAGGAGUCUAACAUGUGCGCGAGUCAUUGGGAUUUUUUUCAAAUUAAACCUAAAGGCGUAAUGAAAGUAAAGGUCGUCCUUGCGUCGACCGAGGGAGGAUAAGUUGAAAAAACAGCUUCGCACUCCCGGGGCGUCUCAUUCUCAUUGCGAGAAGAGGCGCACCUAG
RNAcentral lists this ribosomal RNA (655 nucleotides) under Panama sp. 5 AZR-2020. Its description in RNAcentral is "partial large subunit ribosomal RNA". It matches the Rfam family "Eukaryotic large subunit ribosomal RNA", at positions 386 to 798 of the family's 3401-position model. The record is from RNAcentral. Lineage: Eukaryota; Metazoa; Arthropoda; Insecta; Hymenoptera; Braconidae.